ACAUGGUUACUCCGCAAGGGGGUUCAGUCGAGGUGCUGCAUGGCUGUCGUCAGCUCGUGUCGUGAGAUGUUGGGUUAAGUCCCGCAACGAGCGCAACCCUUGCCCUGUUUUGCCAUCAUUCAGUUGGGAACUAUCAGGGGACCGCCAGCGAUAAGUUGGAGGAAGGUGGGGAUGACGUCAAGUCAGCAUGGCCUUUAUGUCCAGGGCUACACACGUGCUACAAUGGCCGGUACAAUACGACGCUNACCCGCGAGGGGGAGCAAAUCGGAAAAAACCGGUCUCAGUUCGGAUCGCAGGCUGCAACUCGCCUGCGUGAAGCUGGAAUCGCUAGUAAUGCCGGAUCAGCAUGCCGGCGUGAAUACGUUCCCGGGCCUUGUACACACCGCCCGUCACAUCACGAAAGUGGGUUGUACUAGAAGUCCGCAUGCUAACCCGCAAGGGAGGCAGCGGCCCAAGGUGUGACUCAUGAUUGGGGUGAAGUCGUAACAAGGUAGCCGUAA
This 500-nucleotide ribosomal RNA is filed under the name uncultured Acidobacteriota bacterium. RNAcentral describes it as "bacterial SSU rRNA". It matches the Rfam family "Bacterial small subunit ribosomal RNA", at positions 1006 to 1505 of the family's 1533-position model. The record is from RNAcentral. Lineage: Bacteria; Pseudomonadati; Acidobacteriota.